AGUGAACGCUGGCGGUAGGCCUAACACAUGCAAGUCGAACGGCAGCACAGUAAGAGCUUCCUCUUACGGGUGGCGAGUGGCGGACGGGUGAGGAAUACAUCGGAAUCUACUUUUUCGUGGGGGAUAACGUAGGGAAACUUACGCUAAUACCGCAUACGACCUACGGGUGAAAGCAGGGGAUCUUCGGACCUUGCGCGAUUGAAUGAGCCGAUGUCGGAUUAGCUAGAUGGCGGGGUAAAGGCCCACCAAGGCGACGAUCCGUAGCUGGUCUGAGAGGAUGAUCAGCCACACUGGAACUGAGACACGGUCCAGACUCCUACGGGAGGCAGCAGUGGGGAAUAUUGGACAAUGGGCGCAAGCCUGAUCCAGCCAUACCGCGUGGGUGAAGAAGGCCUUCGGGUUGUAAAGCCCUUUUGUUGGGAAAGAAAAGCAGCAGGUUAAUACCCCGCUGUUCUGACGGUACCCAAAGAAUAAGCACCGGCUAACUUCG
Molecule: ribosomal RNA, 490 nt
Filed under: uncultured bacterium
Lineage: Bacteria
Description: partial 16S ribosomal RNA
Rfam family: Bacterial small subunit ribosomal RNA
Source: RNAcentral